UCGUUAGAUGAUGAGGAGAUGGUCUCGUACAUCAUCACUGGCCUCGACAUUGAUUACAAUCCAAUUGUGCCAACUAUCGUCGCACGAGUGGAACCCUUUUCAGUCAACGAGUUGUACGCUCAACUCCUGAGCUUCAAAA
Phragmites australis (common reed) is the source of this 139-nucleotide small nucleolar RNA. RefSeq annotates it as small nucleolar RNA Z247. The transcript has a single exon. The record is from RefSeq and is a predicted model, not a curated record. Lineage: Eukaryota; Viridiplantae; Streptophyta; Magnoliopsida; Poales; Poaceae.